GAUCUGAAAUCAGGUAGGGCUACUCGCUGAACUUAAGCAUAUCAAUAAGCGGAGGAAAAGAAACUAACAAGGAUUCCCCUAGUAACGGCGAGUGAAGCGGGAAGAGCUCAAAUUUAAAAUCUGGUUUGCUUUGCAAAUCCGAGUUGUAGUCUGAAGAAACGUUUUCCAUGAAAGCUGAGGCACAAGUCCUUUGGAACAGGGCAUCAUAGAGGGUGAGAAUCCCGUCCAUGGUCUCAAGCCUUUCAUUUUGUGAUACGUUUUCUAAGAGUCAGGUUGUUUGGGAAUGCAGCCUAAAAUGGGUGGUAAAUUUCAUCUAAAGCUAAAUAUUGGCGAGAGACCGAUAGCGAACAAGUACCGUGAGGGAAAGAUGAAAAGAACUUUGAAAAGAGAGUUAAAAAGUACGUGAAAUUAUUGAAAGGGAACCGUUUGAAGCCAG
This 436-nucleotide ribosomal RNA is filed under the name uncultured fungus. RNAcentral describes it as "eukaryotic LSU rRNA". It matches the Rfam family "Eukaryotic large subunit ribosomal RNA", at positions 1 to 432 of the family's 3401-position model. Lineage: Eukaryota; Fungi. The record is from RNAcentral.